CCUACGGGGUGCAGCAGUAGGGAAUAUUGCUCAAUGGGGGAAACCCUGAAGCAGCAACGCCGCGUGGAGGAUGAAGGUUUUCGGAUUGUAAACUCCUUUUGUUAGAGAAGAUAAUGACGGUAUCUAACGAAUAAGCACCGGCUAACUCCGUACCAGCAGCCGCGGUAAUACGGAGGGUGCAAGCGUUACUCGGAAUCACUGGGCGUAAAGAGCGCGUAGGCGGGAUAGCAAGUCAGAUGUGAAAUCCUAUGGCUUAACCAUAGAACUGCAUUUGAAACUGUUAUUCUAGAGUAUGGGAGAGGUAGGUGGAAUUCUUGGUGUAGGGGUAAAAUCCGUAGAGAUCAAGAGGAAUACUCAUUGCGAAGGCGACCUGCUGGAACAUUACUGACGCUGAUGCACGAAAGCGUGGGGAGCAAACAGGAUUAGAUACCCGGGUAGUC
This 440-nucleotide ribosomal RNA is filed under the name uncultured bacterium. RNAcentral describes it as "partial 16S ribosomal RNA". It matches the Rfam family "Bacterial small subunit ribosomal RNA", at positions 338 to 795 of the family's 1533-position model. The record is from RNAcentral.